GGGAUAUUGAAAAGAGGUUCGCCAGGAUGGCCAUGGACGCUUUGGUUAAGGAAGCACUGACAGCUAGCAACGACAAACAGAGCCCAUCGACUGUCGGAAGCGUUCCAACCCUUAACGUGAACCGAAAAGCGUACAGAUCCAAGGGAAACCACACCCAUUAUUGGCAGUUGAGGUUGUUGUUUUCAAAUUCGACUUGACAAGCUCCAGAGCCAGAAUCCCGAUGCUACACUUAUUAAAAUUCAUGGGAGAACCACGUAUAGGACCCGGGUGGGCCCGUGAAAGCCUCCGGCGGGAUGAGGAGAGAUCCCAACAUAAACAAAGUAGUUGCCUGGUUGCCUUGGCUCGACGCAAAGUAAACAUAAAUAAGAGCAAACGGAACUGGCAGAGGAGAAGGAGCUGUGCCCUCUGAGGCGACGACAACGACGACGACUCCGAUUAGGUAAAUACGGAGGUGAAGGCGCCGCUUCAAAGGAUUCGAGAUGCCACGACAUCUUAAUGAUGAUGUCAUGAAUAAAUUAGUUGGCGACUGGAUAGAAACUACUAUUUCGGCAGGAGCUAAAUCAUCUCCACGUGCCGGGGCGGAGUAGUGGAUGGGAAUGCGACUUCCCACUCGCCCAACUUAAUGACAAAAAUUAAGUGAACCGCAAAAAGUGGCAUUGCGGUCGCCUGAAAGGGCUGAGACUGAGGGGGCGUGGCAGGCUUAGCCAAAGCCGCCACAAAGUUCAAAAAAUGUGUACGACCCACGCACGCACGUGUGAAAAUCCCUUAUAUCCUCCCGAUGAAGUCAUUUAAAUUAACUUGCAAAUUAUGCAAAUGUGCGACAAAAGUGAGACUCCUUCCGGCCGGGGGUAGGUGUUCCUUUGCAGGUGGCCGCCGGUCCGACAUCCGACAUCAGUGUUGCAGCCACGCCCCUUCGACACCCCGACUGCCAGGGUUGAAAAUUAAUUAGUUGCGCCUAUUUUUGCGAUCAAUCAUUCAAUUUUCUGCGCCAUAAAAUCUCGUCGACCGCCCGGAAAACAAAAAAGGCAUCAACACUUUCCGCAAAACAAGGGCGCCACUUGUCCAACAAGCUGCUAGUUGCCUGCCAUCGCCCCCGGACCUGUCCCUGUCCCUGUCCUCAGACCAUCCCGUUCUGCACUGUUCCGCUGGAAACAGCCUCGUCAUUUAUGCGCUACGCUUUUUACGAUGCGGGCUUGUCCUUGUUCCUCCUCCGGCUGCAGCCACCACCCGGGUUCGAUUUUCGGGCUGAGGGUUGGAUGUGGUAAUGACGAGUUUUUCCUGGAUGGUAGCGAGGACGAGGCUGAAGCUUGGCUUGUCAGGCAACGCAAUCUGUCACCAUCCGAAUAGCAAUGAGCAAAAAGGCGAUCAUGAUUGUUAUUGCGAUUGAACGCAGGGUUCCGAAAAACUCGUUGGCUUAAUUUAUUUCAUCCAAAAAAAUAACACCACUGGAAACAAGAAUCUGGUUUUUAGUUUCUAACUGAAACUAAAAUAGAAUGGAAUUCUUAAUCUAUUCAUAAAACCAGAUCACCUUUAAAUAUAUCCUUCGACUAUGGGUUCUCUGAGGAUAUGAGUUACUUGAACCGUUUCCAGUAGGGAUACUACUCUCAACAAAAACAGACCUUUUGUUUUUGUUUGCAAAUUGUUUCAUAUAAAAUAAUUCGAAAUAUUUGAGCCGGCAGCGAAAUUAGCCAAAUUAACACCUUGCUAAGUCCGGAGUCUGGAGCUGGCUUAGGCCUGGAAAUAAUUGAAAUAUUUUUUGCUCUAAUAAAAAGACCCGAGCCGCAGGGAUAAGCCGGAGUUGUGUGGCACAUUUAAGCGAGUCCAGUUAAGACGAGGGUCACAGGGUCAGGGGUGAUGUGGGUGCAGAAAGAGCUGACCUUUUGUGCCUCCUUCUGUUCUCUCACUCAAUUACGCCGCGGGUUUCGGCCUGGUCCGAGCCACUUGGCGGAGUCUAUUUGGGCAAAUACUUCGGACCAUUUAAACAAUUUCCAUUAACAAAUAUGCGCAAAUUGGCCAACGGCGGUUUUACAAAUAAAUUGCACAAAAAACCAACUUUGACAAAAAUGGGAAAAACUGAUCCAAACCGAACCGGAGCGAGAUGUAUAUGUUCAAUCUUUUUCAACCGAAAUGCAUGAAAUAU
Molecule: long non-coding RNA, 2140 nt
Organism: Drosophila ananassae
Lineage: Eukaryota; Metazoa; Arthropoda; Insecta; Diptera; Drosophilidae
Exons: 3
Source: RefSeq, a predicted model, not a curated record